AUUGAACGCUGGCGGCAGGCCUAACACAUGCAAGUCGGACGGUAGCACAGAGAGCUUGCUCUCGGGUGACGAGUGGCGGACGGGUGAGUAAUGUCUGGGGAUCUGCCCGAUAGAGGGGGAUAACCACUGGAAACGGUGGCUAAUACCGCAUAACGUCGCAAGACCAAAGAGGGGGACCUUUGGGCCUCUCACUAUCGGAUGAACCCAGAUGGGAUUAGCUAGUAGGCGGGGUAACGGCCCACCUAGGCGACGAUCCCUAGCUGGUCUGAGAGGAUGACCAGCCACACUGGAACUGAGACCCGGUCCAGACUCCUACGGGAGUAAGCAGUGGGGAAUAUUGCACAAUGGGCGCAAGCCUGAUGCAGCCAUGCCGCGUGUAUGAAGAAGGCCUUCGGGUUGUAAAGUACUUUCAGCGGGGAGGAAGGCGAUGUGGUUAAUAACCGCGUCGAUUGACGUUACCCGCAGAAGAAGCACCGGCUAACUCCGUGCCAGCCGCCGCAGUAA
This 504-nucleotide ribosomal RNA is filed under the name uncultured bacterium. Its description in RNAcentral is "partial 16S ribosomal RNA". It matches the Rfam family "Bacterial small subunit ribosomal RNA", at positions 30 to 523 of the family's 1533-position model. The record is from RNAcentral.